UUUUCAUAUUUCUUUCAUUUUAGGAUGAAGUGGAAGGUUAAGACCUUUAAGGCCCCUUGCAUUAUGGAUGAGGCUUUACGUGUGCGGGCAAGUCCCUCGCUACCUUGCACUAUUGAUUGAGCAUCUUCUCCAUAUGUUUCGAGGAUGAAACGGAAGAGGAAGACCUUUAAGGCCCCUUGCAUUAUGGAUGAGGCUUUACGUGUGCGGGCAAGUCCCUCGCUACCUUGCACUAUUGAUGGAGCAUCUUCUCCAUAUGUUUCGAGGAUGAAACGGAAGAGGAAGACCUUUAAGGCCCCUUGCAUUAUGGAUGAGGCUUUACGUGUGCGGGCAAGUCCCUCGCUACCUUGCACUAUUGAUGGAGCAUCUUCUCCAUAUGU
Molecule: non-coding RNA, 377 nt
Organism: Camellia sinensis
Lineage: Eukaryota; Viridiplantae; Streptophyta; Magnoliopsida; Ericales; Theaceae
Source: RefSeq, a predicted model, not a curated record